Molecule: ribosomal RNA, 433 nt
Filed under: uncultured bacterium
Lineage: Bacteria
Description: partial 16S ribosomal RNA
Rfam family: Bacterial small subunit ribosomal RNA
Source: RNAcentral
AACGAACGCUGGCGGCAUGCCUAACACAUGCAAGUCGAACGAGACCUUCGGGUCUAGUGGCGCACGGGUGCGUAACGCGUGGGAACCUGCCCUUAGGUUCGGAAUAACUCCCCGAAAGGGGUGCUAAUACCGGAUAAUGUCUUCGGACCAAGGAUUUAUCGCCUUUGGAUGGGCCCGCGUUGGAUUAGCUAGUUGGUAGGGUAAAAGCCUACCAAGGCGACGAUCCAUAGCUGGUCUGAGAGGAUGAGCAGCCACACUGGGACUGAGACACGGCCCAGACUCCUACGGGAAGGAGGAGUGGGGAAUAUUGGACAAUGGGCGAAAGCCUGAUCCAGCAAUGCCGCGUGAGUGAUGAAGGGGUUAGGGUUGUAAAGCUGUUUUAGCCGGGAUGAUAAUGACAGUACCGGGAGAAGAAGCUCCGGCUAACUCCGUG